Long non-coding RNA from Spodoptera frugiperda (fall armyworm), 1175 nucleotides. RefSeq lists it as uncharacterized. The record is from RefSeq and is a predicted model, not a curated record. NCBI's taxonomy places the organism in Eukaryota, Metazoa, Arthropoda, Insecta, Lepidoptera, Noctuidae. The transcript is spliced from 3 exons.
AGCACUUUGGACUAGCCUAUUCAGAAAGUAUGAGUUUGAUUUACGUUUAAAGUAAUCGAAACGAAAGCGCGUUCAGCGCUCUGAUUGGCCGGCUCGAACAAACCAACCAAUCAGAACGCCGAACGCGCUUUCAUUUCGUCAGACAAACAGCAGCUUAAACCAAUCAGCUUAAUUUUAUCGAUUUAAAUUUCCUCCUGUUACUACGUCUACUACACAUUGCUUCUGUUACAGUCUUCUAAGUUCUAGUACCAUCAGAUCUGAACAGCCUGGUCUAGUUGCAGUCCAGCGCAGAAGAAUACACAGUAUCUUCGGAUGACCACAUCCACGAUGUUUGGCAGCACCAGUACCAGUUUCCUGUAUACCCGAGUCAACGAAAGAGAAGGUCGAUGCUUGGGAGAAAUAACAGCAAAACAUCAGCAGUGGGCGGCGGACUGCUCGACCUUGCGCUCGAGACAAACCCAGCACCACGACACACGAUUUCACCUCACAACCAUCGCCACAAUCUAAGAAAUCAACAUCCAACGCUGUCUUCGUUCAAGAAUAACUACACUGUCGCUGUUCAUACACAGCGAUGUAUAGCGAACACAGUGGGAAGGACCGCUUUGUCCGCGACUCGGUAUCCAACGCGCGCCUCCAGUCUCGUUUGCCAAUUUCGCGCACAAGUUCAUCGACUUUUGACAAGGAUGCAUGAAUCAAGUGUAAUGAUACGAUACGGCAUCGCUCUUUGUUCCAACCGGACGGUGCCGCAUUGUUUUAGGAACGCUGACCUUAAUUAAUGUUGCCUAACGUUGGUAGUAGGGUUCAUUCAGUUGUGUAAAUUGCUUAGGUUUCUAAAUAUUUCUAUUAAUAUCUUUAAGAGCAGUGUUUGCAACUAAAUACAUUCAAUACAGUUUUCGUACAUUUUCUAAUUUGUUUAUUUUUUAUUCAUAUCACGCGUGACGUCACCUUUUUGGGUAAACCAACGUACUUUUUUCGUAAACUAGCUAGAAGAGUUGUUAAACGUUAGUCUUUUGUUUUUGUGAGAAUCAUAAUGUAAUUAUUGUAAUAUAUUUUACCUAAUGCAUUGUUAAUAGCUAUUUUUAGUUUUUACCUAAAUUCUUUGUAUAAAAAUGUGGUCUCAUUGAGAAAAGUGUAGAAAAUAAUUGUGAAUAAUAAAAUAUUGUAUGUUAUUGUAA